This 502-nucleotide ribosomal RNA is filed under the name uncultured bacterium. Its description in RNAcentral is "partial 16S ribosomal RNA". It matches the Rfam family "Bacterial small subunit ribosomal RNA", at positions 28 to 523 of the family's 1533-position model. The record is from RNAcentral.
GAUGAACGCUAGCGGCAGGCCUAACACAUGCAAGUCGAGGGGCAGCACAGAAACAGCAAUGUUUUGGUGGCGACCGGCGGGCGGGUGCGUAACGCGUAUGCAACCUACCUUUAACAGGGGGAUAACGGAGAGAAAUUUCCACUAAUACCCCAUAACAUCGAUCAAGGCAUCUUGAUUGGUUGAAAACUCCGGUGGUUAAAGAUGGGCAUGCGUUGUAUUAGGUAGUUGGUGAGGUAAUGGCUCACCAAGCCUACGAUACAUAGGGGGACUGAGAGGUUAGCCCCCCACACUGGUACUGAGACACGGACCAGACUCCUACGGGAGGCAGCAGUGAGGAAUAUUGGUCAAUGGGGGCAACCCAGAACCAGCCAUGCCGCGUGCAGGAAGACGGCUCUAUGAGUUGUAAACUGCUUUUAAACAGGGAUAAAGCACAGUAUGUAUACUGUGUUGAAGGUACUGUAAGAAUAAGGAUCGGCUAACUCCGUGCCAGCCGCCGCAGUAA